UGGGGAAUUGUUCGCAAUGGGCGCAAGCCUGACGACGCAACGCCGCGUGGAGGAUGAAGGUCUUCGGAUUGUAAACUCCUGUUGCUCGGGACGAAUAGCUUCAACCUAAUACGUUGAAGUCUGACGGUACCGAGUGAGGAAGCCCCGGCUAACUCUGUGCCAGCAGCCGCGGUAAUACAGAGGGGGCAAGCGUUGUUCGGAAUUACUGGGCGUAAAGGGCGCGUAGGCGGCCUGCUAAGUCGAACGUGAAAUCCCCGGGCUCAACCCGGGAACUGCGUCCGAUACUGGUGGGCUUGAAUCCGGGAGAGGGAUGUGGAAUUCCAGGUGUAGCGGUGAAAUGCGUAGAUAUCUGGAGGAACACCGGUGGCGAAGGCGGCAUCCUGGACCGGUAUUGACGCUGAGGCGCGAAAGCCAGGGGAGCAAACGGG
Molecule: ribosomal RNA, 428 nt
Filed under: uncultured Acidobacteriota bacterium
Lineage: Bacteria; Pseudomonadati; Acidobacteriota
Description: bacterial SSU rRNA
Rfam family: Bacterial small subunit ribosomal RNA
Source: RNAcentral